RNAcentral lists this ribosomal RNA (253 nucleotides) under uncultured bacterium. Its description in RNAcentral is "partial 16S ribosomal RNA". It matches the Rfam family "Bacterial small subunit ribosomal RNA", at positions 524 to 776 of the family's 1533-position model. The record is from RNAcentral.
UACGUAGGGUGCAAGCGUUGUCCGGAAUUAUUGGGCGUAAAGCGCUUGUAGGCGGUUUGUCGCGUCUGCUGUGAAAUUUCGGGGCUCAACCCCGAACUUGCAGUGGGUACGGGCAGACUAGAGUGUGGUAGGGGAGACUGGAAUUCCUGGUGUAGCGGUGAAAUGCGCAGAUAUCAGGAGGAACACCGGUGGCGAAGGCGGGACUCUGGGCCGAUACUGACGCUGAGGAGCGAAAGCGUGGGGAGCAAACAGG